AACGCGAAGAACCUUACCCAGACUUGACAUUGAUGAAAUCCCUCGGAAAUGAGGGAGUACCCUUCGGGGAUCUGAAAACAGGUGCUGCAUGGCUGUCGUCAGCUCGUGUCGUGAGAUGUUGGGUUAAGUCCCGCAACGAGCGCAACCCUUGUCGUUAGUUGCCAUCGGGUAAAGCCGGGCACUCUAGCGAGACUGCCGGUGUUAAACCGGAGGAAGGUGGGGAUGACGUCAAGUCCUCAUGGCCUUUAUGUCUGGGGCUACACACGUGCUACAAUGGCCACUACAAACCGACGCGAACUCGUAAGGGGAAGCAAAUCGGAAAAAAGUGGUCUCAGUUCGGAUCGGAGUCUGCAACUCGACUUCGUGAAGUCGGAAUCGCUAGUAAUCGUGGAUCAGCAUGCCACGGUGAAUACGUUCCCGGGCCUUGUACACACCGGCUAC
This 441-nucleotide ribosomal RNA is filed under the name uncultured bacterium. RNAcentral describes it as "bacterial SSU rRNA". It matches the Rfam family "Bacterial small subunit ribosomal RNA", at positions 958 to 1397 of the family's 1533-position model. The record is from RNAcentral.